Molecule: ribosomal RNA, 498 nt
Filed under: uncultured bacterium
Lineage: Bacteria
Description: partial 16S ribosomal RNA
Rfam family: Bacterial small subunit ribosomal RNA
Source: RNAcentral
AUUGAACGCUGGCGGCAUGCCUUACACAUGCAAGUCGAACGGUAACAGGUCUUCGGAUGCUGACGAGUGGCGAACGGGUGAGUAAUACAUCGGAACGUGCCUAGUAGUGGGGGAUAACUACUCGAAAGAGUGGCUAAUACCGCAUGAGAUCUACGGAUGAAAGCAGGGGAUCGCAAGACCUUGUGCUACUAGAGCGGCCGAUGGCAGAUUAGGUAGUUGGUGGGAUAAAAGCUUACCAAGCCAACGAUCUGUAGCUGGUCUGAGAGGACGACCAGCCACACUGGGACUGAGACACGGCCCAGACUCCUACGGGAGGCAGCAGUGGGGAAUUUUGGACAAUGGGCGCAAGCCUGAACCAGCAAUGCCGCGUGCAGGAAGAAGGCCUUCGGGUUGUAAACUGCUUUUGUACGGAACGAAAAGGUUUGGGUUAAUACCCUGGGCCGAUGACGGUACCGUAAGAAUAAGCACCGGCUAACUACGUGCCAGCCGCCGCCGUAA